RNAcentral lists this ribosomal RNA (497 nucleotides) under uncultured bacterium. Its description in RNAcentral is "partial 16S ribosomal RNA". It matches the Rfam family "Bacterial small subunit ribosomal RNA", at positions 28 to 507 of the family's 1533-position model. The record is from RNAcentral.
GAUGAACGCUGGCGGCGUGCCUAAUACAUGCAAGUCGAGCGAACGGACGAGAAGCUUGCUUCUCUGAUGUUAGCGGCGGACGGGUGAGUAACACGUGGAUAACCCACCUAUAAGACUGGGAUAACUUCGGGAAACCGGAGCUAAUACCGGAUAAUAUUUUGAACCGCAUGGUUCAAAAGUGAAAGACGGUCUUGCUGUCACUUAUAGAUGGAUCCGCGCUGCAUUAGCUAGUUGGUAAGGUAACGGCUUACCAAGGCAACGAUGCAUAGCCGACCUGAGAGGGUGAUCGGCCACACUGGAACUGAGACACGUUCCAGACUCCUACGGGAGGCAGCAGUAGGGAAUCUUCCGCAAUGGGCGAAAGCCUGACGGAGCAACGCCGCGUGAGUGAUGAAGGUCUUCGGAUCGUAAAACUCUGUUAUUAGGGAAGAACAUAUGUGUAAGUAACUGUGCACAUCUUGACGGUACCUAAUCAGAAAGCCACGGCUAACUACGUG